GAUGAAGAACGUAGCGAAAUGCGAUAAGUAAUGUGAAUUGCAGAAUUCAGUGAAUCAUCGAAUCUUUGAACGCACCUUGCGCUCCUUGGUAUUCCUUGGAGCAUGCCUGUUUGAGUAUCAUGAAAUUCUCAAAGUAAAUCUUUUUGUUAAUUCAAUUGGUUUCACUUUGGAUUUGGAGGUCUUUUGCAGCUUCACACCUGCUCCUCUUUGUGCAUUAGCUGGAUCUCAGUGUUAUGCUUGGUUCCACUCGGCGUGAUAAAUUAUCUAUCGCUGAGGACACUUUUUUUUUUUUCUUAAAAAAAAAAUAAAGGUGGCCAAGGGAAAUGCAGAUGAACCGCUUCCAAUAGUCCAUUAGCUUGGACAAAAUAUAUUUAUGAUCUGAUCUCAAAUCAGGUAGGACUACCCGCUGAACUUAAGCAUAUCAAUAAGCGGAGGA
RNAcentral lists this unclassified non-coding RNA (436 nucleotides) under soil metagenome. Its description in RNAcentral is "partial contains 5.8S ribosomal RNA, internal transcribed spacer 2, and large subunit ribosomal RNA". The stretch from base 1 to 120 matches the Rfam family "5.8S ribosomal RNA", at positions 35 to 154 of the family's 154-position model. The record is from RNAcentral.